This 73-nucleotide transfer RNA is filed under the name Canis lupus familiaris (dog). It matches the Rfam family "tRNA". From Rfam's summary of the family: Transfer RNA (tRNA) molecules are approximately 80 nucleotides in length. RNAcentral also lists the same sequence under 1 other name. Lineage: Eukaryota; Metazoa; Chordata; Mammalia; Carnivora; Canidae. The record is from Rfam by way of RNAcentral.
GCCUGGCUUGCUCAGUUGUUAAAGCAUGGGACUCUUAGUCCCAGGAUUGUGAGUUCAAGCCCCGUGCUGGGUG